Molecule: long non-coding RNA, 478 nt
Organism: Papaver somniferum (opium poppy)
Lineage: Eukaryota; Viridiplantae; Streptophyta; Magnoliopsida; Ranunculales; Papaveraceae
Exons: 3
Source: RefSeq, a predicted model, not a curated record
UAUUCAUCGAGAUCUCAAAGUCAUUAACAUUCUCUUGGAUGAAGACAUGACCCUAAAAAUUUCAGACUUUGGGAUGGCAAGGAUAUUUGGUGGGAAACAAACUAUCGAUAAUACUAACCGGGUCGUUGGUACAUUUGGUUAUAUGUCUCCGGAGUACGUAAUGGGAGGGACAUUUUCGGAGAAGUCUGAUGUCUUCAGUUUUGGAGUGUAAUUAGUGCUUGAACUUGUAAGUGGCAAGAGAAAUAACAGCUUCUACAGUUCCGAACAACCUUCAAACCUUCUUCUUCAUGCUUGGGGUCUUUGAAAUGAAGGAAAAUGGUCAGAUAUUGUCGAUGAGGAUUUGGGUGAUCUAGGUUCUCCUUUCGAAGUGAUGAAAUGCAUACAUAUUGGUCUGCUAUGUUGUCAGAAUAGAGCAGUAGAUAGGCCGACCAUGGCUGAAAUGGAUCUCAUGCUUAACUGUGAUAUUGAUCGUCCAUCU